Arvicola amphibius (Eurasian water vole) is the source of this 169-nucleotide long non-coding RNA. RefSeq lists it as uncharacterized. The record is from RefSeq and is a predicted model, not a curated record. Lineage: Eukaryota; Metazoa; Chordata; Mammalia; Rodentia; Cricetidae. The transcript is spliced from 3 exons.
GCCUACCUCUUCCAGAUACGUUUCCCCUGCAGCGGUUGCUUUGAGGGACAGACCCUCGCCUCUGGCCUACUUUUUGGAAGGCUUUGUUUUCAAGGAAGAUGGGACAUCCAGGAUAAUCACAUUGGGACAGUUCAGACAGGCCAGAAGAGGGCACCAGAUCUCAUCGCAA